Molecule: non-coding RNA, 70 nt
Organism: Parelaphostrongylus tenuis
Lineage: Eukaryota; Metazoa; Nematoda; Chromadorea; Rhabditida; Metastrongylidae
Source: the annotation of a GenBank genome assembly
GCCUCUGUGGUGUAGUGGUAGAGCACGCGCCCGGAUAGAAUAAAUCGCGGUUCGAUUCCUGCCUGGGGCC